RNAcentral lists this ribosomal RNA (728 nucleotides) under Malassezia pachydermatis. RNAcentral describes it as "eukaryotic LSU rRNA". The stretch from base 196 to 349 matches the Rfam family "5.8S ribosomal RNA". The record is from RNAcentral. Lineage: Eukaryota; Fungi; Basidiomycota; Malasseziomycetes; Malasseziales; Malasseziaceae.
GAUCAUUAGUGAAUUUGUAGGGCCUGCCAUACGGAUGCGCAAGCGUCUCUGGCGCCCAACCCACUAUACAUCCACAAACCCGUGUGCACUUGUGUUGCUUUGGCCUGUAUGGGCGAGCGCACGCAUUCAAACAAACUCGUAUGGUUGUAUGUACGUUGUAAACGUUGGACCGUCACUGGCCAACAAACUUUAUACAACUUUCGACAACGGAUCUCUUGGUUCUCCCAUCGAUGAAGAACGCAGCGAAACGCGAUAGGUAAUGUGAAUUGCAGAAUUCCGUGAAUCAUCGAAUCUUUGAACGCACCUUGCGCUCCAUGGUAUUCCGUGGAGCAUGCCUGUUUGAGUGCCGCGAAUUCUCCCACCCCAAACGGUUGCCGAAAGGUACUGUGCGGCGGAGGGGUUGGAUGGGUGCUACUGCCUGUGGUGGGGAAACUACAACAGGCUCGCCCGAAAUGCAUUAGCGCCUCAGGACACAUUCGCUACUGCUCUACAAAAGGAAGAGCAGCGAAGCGUAUGGGGGGGAAAACCACCACCGGUUAUUCCAAACCUCGCCUGACUGUUUUUGCGCGCAUGGCAUGAUACGUCAUUUGCUGUGUUGCGUAGGGGGGUGCAUGAAAAAGUGGGAGUGCCUCUGGAGAUCCUGCGGAGGAGCUCAAUAAUAAGCGGAGGAGCAGGUGAACAAGCUGCGGAGCAUCUCAUUUAGCGGGCGAUUCGGGCCCUCUCUCUUC